UAUUAAGCGAUGAAUAGGAAAAGUAGAAUUAUUAAUAGAUAUUAAGAGAGGAAGUGGCUGGUGAAAACUUCUUGCUAUUGUAUUUUGAAGCUGCCUAGGAGCUAUAACUUACUAAGUGAUGUAUAUUUUAUACAUAAUUAGGGUGGUACCGCGGAAUUUUAGCUUUCGUCCCUUGU
RNAcentral lists this non-coding RNA (176 nucleotides) under Clostridium butyricum. RNAcentral describes it as "T-box sequence". It matches the Rfam family "T-box leader". From Rfam's summary of the family: Uncharged tRNA acts as the effector for transcription antitermination of genes in the T-box leader family. T-boxes are found upstream of many aminoacyl-tRNA synthetase genes and some amino acid biosynthetic genes usually in Gram-positive bacteria. The record is from RNAcentral. Lineage: Bacteria; Bacillati; Bacillota; Clostridia; Eubacteriales; Clostridiaceae.